RNAcentral lists this transfer RNA (66 nucleotides) under Corydalus sp. 2 YLJ-2021a. RNAcentral's name for it is "tRNA-Ile". The record is from RNAcentral. Lineage: Eukaryota; Metazoa; Arthropoda; Insecta; Megaloptera; Corydalidae.
AAUGAAGUGCCUGAAUUAAAGGAAUAUCUUGAUAGGGUAAAUAAUGUGAAACUUUCACCUUCAUUA